This is a microRNA precursor of Nomascus leucogenys (northern white-cheeked gibbon), 90 nucleotides long. The record is from Ensembl. Lineage: Eukaryota; Metazoa; Chordata; Mammalia; Primates; Hylobatidae.
GAGAUGGGACGAUUGCUUGAAUCUGGAAGGUUUAGGCUGCAGUGAGCUGUGAUCACACCACUGCACUCCAGCCUGAGUGACAGAGCAAGA